UGACGUGUCGCGGUAGCGGCUUCCGCUCCUCCCCGCACCUUAUCCACUCAGCGCGGCGAGAGGGGCGGGGAAGCCGGGGUGGCGCUGCCCUCGGCCCCCGCUCCCGGCCCGCCCCGCCGCCCCGGCCCCCCGGAUGAGGGUAUAUAUUUCGGGUGGGCCCGGGACGCAGAUGAGUGGCCUAGCCGAGGGAGCCGUAGCCGGGUGGAGCCGCAGUCGCGCGGAGGGAGAUGGCUCUUUGAAGAUGUGAUCAAGUUUGGCCUGAUGCUGUAUGUGAUGCAGUGUUCAUGCAUGGUUCAUGAAAUCUUGAAGUCAGGUGGUAGCGAUCAUGAUCGGAUGUGUGUGUCAUGGAGUGCAACAGUUUAAAGACUUUGAGCAAUAGAAAAUAUAUUACUAUAUUUACAGUAUGGAAGUAGAUCUAUCUGCUUCAAAUAAACAUAG
Long non-coding RNA from Octodon degus (degu), 438 nucleotides. RefSeq lists it as uncharacterized. Lineage: Eukaryota; Metazoa; Chordata; Mammalia; Rodentia; Octodontidae. The record is from RefSeq and is a predicted model, not a curated record. The transcript has 3 exons.